UGCAGUCGAACGAUGAAGCCUUUCGGGGUGGAUUAGUGGCGAACGGGUGAGUAACACGUGGGCAAUCUGCCCUUCACUCUGGGACAAGCCCUGGAAACGGGGUCUAAUACCGGAUAAUACUUCUGCCUGCAUGGGUGGGGGUUGAAAGCUCCGGCGGUGAAGGAUGAGCCCGCGGCCUAUCAGCUUGUUGGUGAGGUAGUGGCUCACCAAGGCGACGACGGGUAGCCGGCCUGAGAGGGCGACCGGCCACACUGGGACUGAGACACGGCCCAGACUCCUACGGGAGGCAGCAGUGGGGAAUAUUGCACAAUGGGCGGAAGCCUGAUGCAGCGACGCCGCGUGAGGGAUGACGGCCUUCGGGUUGUAAACCUCUUUCAGCAGGGAAGAAGCGCAAGUGACGGUACCUGCAGAAGAAGCGCCGGCUAACUACGUGCCAGCAGCCGCGGUAAUACGUAGGGCGCAAGCGUUGUCCGGAAUUAUUGGGCGUAAAGAGCUCGUAGGCGGCUUGUCGCGUCGGUUGUGAAAGCCCGGGGCUUAACCCCGGGUCUGCAGUCGAUACGGGCAGGCUGGAGUGUGGUAGGGGAGAUCGGAAUUCCUGGUGUAGCGGUGAAAUGCGCAGAUAUCAGGAGGAACACCGGUGGCGAAGGCGGAUCUCUGGGCCAUUACUGACGCUGAGGAGCGAAAGCGUGGGGAGCGAACAGGAUUAGAUA
This 710-nucleotide ribosomal RNA is filed under the name Streptomyces sp. YIM 67232. Its description in RNAcentral is "bacterial SSU rRNA". It matches the Rfam family "Bacterial small subunit ribosomal RNA", at positions 56 to 784 of the family's 1533-position model. The record is from RNAcentral. Lineage: Bacteria; Bacillati; Actinomycetota; Actinomycetes; Kitasatosporales; Streptomycetaceae.